GCCCGUGAACAGCCGGUAAAUGGCCUAGGACGCGUGCAAGCAAGUGGUGUAUGUUGCAAGAAGGUAAUCAUAUCUUGAGAACGGCUCUUGUCCUAUUCACUUUGUGUUCUUUAAUGUCCCUGAUUCUCGAGGAAAAGGCUCUUGUACAUUUAUUUGCCCGUGCACGUCACUUGAAACCUUGAAGAAAACAACGGUUGGCUUCCCUGCUAUCAACUGUCCACGUCGACAUGCACGUUGCCAUCAUCGUCAUCAUUGUCAUCCUUUGCAGUUUAGAUGUGAUAUUGGUGGCAGGCCAAAACUGUAGAUUUCCUAAUGAUUGUUCACAACGGAAUCUGGAAGUGGCUUGCCAGUAUGGCCAGACGGAAUCGUGGUACCGAGACAAUGACAAGUCAACAUGUGUGCAACGUCCAUACAAGAAGUGUGGAUCCAAUUGCAACAACUUCAAGACAGCAGGCCAAUGUGAAACAUCGUGCAAGCCCGUCGGGUGGUGGUGGAGGCGCAAGUGAGACGAAAAUCACCAACAGACGGCCGCACCUGCGGUCGAAUCAUGGUGGAAAGUAACAAAACGUAUUAACUGAAUGCGCGAAUAAAAAAAAAAGUGUGAA
Long non-coding RNA from Ornithodoros turicata, 605 nucleotides. RefSeq lists it as uncharacterized. The transcript has 3 exons. Lineage: Eukaryota; Metazoa; Arthropoda; Arachnida; Ixodida; Argasidae. The record is from RefSeq and is a predicted model, not a curated record.